Molecule: ribosomal RNA, 1545 nt
Filed under: Streptococcus salivarius
Lineage: Bacteria; Bacillati; Bacillota; Bacilli; Lactobacillales; Streptococcaceae
Description: bacterial SSU rRNA
Rfam family: Bacterial small subunit ribosomal RNA
Source: RNAcentral
AAUGAGAGUUUGAUCCUGGCUCAGGACGAACGCUGGCGGCGUGCCUAAUACAUGCAAGUAGAACGCUGAAGAGAGGAGCUUGCUCUUCUUGGAUGAGUUGCGAACGGGUGAGUAACGCGUAGGUAACCUGCCUUGUAGCGGGGGAUAACUAUUGGAAACGAUAGCUAAUACCGCAUAACAAUGGAUGACCCAUGUCAUUUAUUUGAAAGGGGCAAAUGCUCCACUACAAGAUGGACCUGCGUUGUAUUAGCUAGUAGGUGAGGUAACGGCUCACCUAGGCGACGAUACAUAGCCGACCUGAGAGGGUGAUCGGCCACACUGGGACUGAGACACGGCCCAGACUCCUACGGGAGGCAGCAGUAGGGAAUCUUCGGCAAUGGGGGCAACCCUGACCGAGCAACGCCGCGUGAGUGAAGAAGGUUUUCGGAUCGUAAAGCUCUGUUGUAAGUCAAGAACGAGUGUGAGAGUGGAAAGUUCACACUGUGACGGUAGCUUACCAGAAAGGGACGGCUAACUACGUGCCAGCAGCCGCGGUAAUACGUAGGUCCCGAGCGUUGUCCGGAUUUAUUGGGCGUAAAGCGAGCGCAGGCGGUUUGAUAAGUCUGAAGUUAAAGGCUGUGGCUCAACCAUAGUUCGCUUUGGAAACUGUCAAACUUGAGUGCAGAAGGGGAGAGUGGAAUUCCAUGUGUAGCGGUGAAAUGCGUAGAUAUAUGGAGGAACACCGGUGGCGAAAGCGGCUCUCUGGUCUGUAACUGACGCUGAGGCUCGAAAGCGUGGGGAGCGAACAGGAUUAGAUACCCUGGUAGUCCACGCCGUAAACGAUGAGUGCUAGGUGUUGGAUCCUUUCCGGGAUUCAGUGCCGCAGCUAACGCAUUAAGCACUCCGCCUGGGGAGUACGACCGCAAGGUUGAAACUCAAAGGAAUUGACGGGGGCCCGCACAAGCGGUGGAGCAUGUGGUUUAAUUCGAAGCAACGCGAAGAACCUUACCAGGUCUUGACAUCCCGAUGCUAUUUCUAGAGAUAGAAAGUUACUUCGGUACAUCGGUGACAGGUGGUGCAUGGUUGUCGUCAGCUCGUGUCGUGAGAUGUUGGGUUAAGUCCCGCAACGAGCGCAACCCCUAUUGUUAGUUGCCAUCAUUCAGUUGGGCACUCUAGCGAGACUGCCGGUAAUAAACCGGAGGAAGGUGGGGAUGACGUCAAAUCAUCAUGCCCCUUAUGACCUGGGCUACACACGUGCUACAAUGGUUGGUACAACGAGUUGCGAGUCGGUGACGGCAAGCUAAUCUCUUAAAGCCAAUCUCAGUUCGGAUUGUAGGCUGCAACUCGCCUACAUGAAGUCGGAAUCGCUAGUAAUCGCGGAUCAGCACGCCGCGGUGAAUACGUUCCCGGGCCUUGUACACACCGCCCGUCACACCACGAGAGUUUGUAACACCCGAAGUCGGUGAGGUAACCUUUUGGAGCCAGCCGCCUAAGGUGGGAUAGAUGAUUGGGGUGAAGUCGUAACAAGGUAGCCGUAUCGGAAGGUGCGGCUGGAUCACCUCCUUU